GAGCGGCGAACGGGUGAGUAACACGUGAGUAACCUGCCCCAGACUUUGGGAUAACCCUCGGAAACGGGGGCUAAUACCGGAUAUGACAUGAGCUCGCAUGGGUUUGUGUGGAAAGUUUUUCGGUUUGGGAUGGGCUCGCGGCCUAUCAGCUUGUUGGUGGGGUGAUGGCCUACCAAGGCGACGACGGGUAGCCGGCCUGAGAGGGCGACCGGCCACACUGGGACUGAGACACGGCCCAGACUCCUACGGGAGGCAGCAGUGGGGAAUAUUGCACAAUGGGCGGAAGCCUGAUGCAGCGACGCCGCGUGAGGGAUGACGGCCUUCGGGUUGUAAACCUCUUUCAGCAGGGACGAAGCGAGAGUGACGGUACCUGCAGAAGAAGCGCCGGCCAACUACGUGCCAGCAGCCGCGGUAAGACGUAGGGCGCGAGCGUUGUCCGGAUUUAUUGGGCGUAAAGAGCUCGUAGGCGGCUUGUCGCGUCGUUCGUGAAAACCUGCAGCUCAACUGCAGGCUUGCGGGCGAUACC
This 526-nucleotide ribosomal RNA is filed under the name Actinoplanes sp. 306G06. RNAcentral's name for it is "bacterial SSU rRNA". It matches the Rfam family "Bacterial small subunit ribosomal RNA", at positions 93 to 634 of the family's 1533-position model. Lineage: Bacteria; Bacillati; Actinomycetota; Actinomycetes; Micromonosporales; Micromonosporaceae. The record is from RNAcentral.